ACCUUAAGCGGGAUGCGAAUGGGGCAGGGCGAGCGCACGUGGAGCGUGUUUACAAAUAGCCGUCAGGGCGUCCGCGUCUUCCAGCGCCGACUCCCGGGAAUCCCCAGCCCACCGGCCGGGACAGGACGAGCCGGAGCAAGGGUCAGGAACCACGCUGGGGGCGGUCAAAUUGAGUUUGGGGUUUCUUUUCCCUGGUGGGAUGAGGUUGCAAGUCACAGUUUCUGUAGAAGCGACUCUGUAAAGCUGGCUGUACCUGGGAGACGCAAGAGCCUGUGAGAGGUUCUCUUGCCGCCCCUCCACGCCCUCUGCUUCUAGGUAGUAGUAAGGGAAUUGCAGUUUGACAAAGCCCCUUGAUUUCAAGCCAAGGUACAGUACGUUUCUAUUUUGGCAUUUUCACUGGAGCAAAUGGAGGCACCUGUGCACUAAUAAUCGCUGCGAUGAACGUGCCUUCUCCGCGUUCACGGACUCGCUUCCCUGCAGGACCCUCGGAGACUUCCCUGGGGAAGGGAGCGGCUGCACCUUCAUCCUGCAGCACCUGUUUACCCAGGAAACGCUUUUAGUCUAUUUCUUUUGUGUGUGUGUGUAUACUUUGAAAAAAAACGGAAGUCUUCAGUUAAGUUUCUCUGCUAUCUGAACAUAAAUGUCUAACCUUUUUCGUUAACAUGAAACGAAAAGCCCACAUUGUUGCUAGGAUGUUUCCAAUCAUUCUUACUGCAGAAAAGAUGUUGAUUUUACGGUUUCCAUCUGACUUCCUCGCCCAGGCUGCUCAAUUGCCUUCCUCAAAAUCGCUGCUUUCUCCCAUGUGACGUGAUGAAAUCUCCUAGUUAACAUGAUGAAAUCACAGAUGUUUUGGACAAAUGUCUGAUUUACCCGCAGGUAGAUCUUUUCGUUCUUGGUUGACUAUUUUGGAUCAAGUUCAACUUUGUGCUAGUUUUAUAUCACUUUUAGUAGUUUGCCUCUUUUCUCCGAUAGUUGUAAUAAGCGUGAAAACAAUUGUAUCUGACUUAGGAAACGCUAUUCAUUCCUCAGAAGGGAAGAGAGCUGACAUUUACUGACUGCCAAUCAAAAGACACAGGGUGUAGCUAGAAGUUAGCUGCCAGGUUUACCCCCUCAGCCGCCAGCCUACCAGGGUCCCUCAGGUCCCAUGAUAUCUAAAUAAAAUGAACUCUGCCUCUUAUCUCUCUCCCCCACUAUCUCUGGGGUUUAAUUUCCAUCCAGACACCACUUGUUUCAUUUCUCCGUUUCUGCUGAUUGCUCCAGCUUGUCGGGUGUCUUAUCUCUUAUAACUGCUCUUUUUUCAUCACCUGGUGUAAGUUGACAUCUGGAACCCAGCCCACAUUUCCUGAUUUUCUCAAAACAUCACUUCCAAGGAGGCACUUGUAUUUAGCAGACUCUUCAUAAGACUUUACCCAAGACACAAGAUCAUUUCAUCAAAUCGACCUUGUUGAGGGAGAAGGGUUGCUAAUUGUAGCAGAUUUACAUUGGAGUUGGGGGCGGGGUUAGAAUGGCUCAGCCUUAUUUUAUGAAGAGCCUUGCUGCCCACAGGCAACUUCUUAUUGCCAGUUCUUUGGGUCCCAGCCUUGCUCCAUCUCACUGUGCCAUCCUCCCCAUCCUCUCUCCAGAGUUUUUCUGUCUUGGGAUCCCCCCUCUUUCCUUCCUUCUCAGCUGCUCGGGAAAUCUUAAGAUUCUUUCCCCCUUUAUUAUGCAGAGCAAUUUCUGUAUCUUUUUCCCAACUGUCUGUUCCGAUUCCCAUGGUCUAGUCUCAAAAGACAUUUUAUUUCCCUCCUUGUGGAAUUCUGCCACAGUAUUUCUUUCCUUCUGCAUGUAUGUAAUCUUUCUUAAUCCUUCUAAUAGUACUACGAAGUUGAUGUUACCUCUAUCUCACAUACAAGGAUUGAUUCUGCAGAAUUAAAUUUGCCAUUUAUUAACAUGGAAUUUUUGGCAUUAGCCUACCAAAAAGGCAUUCUAGGUGUGAGAGCACUAUUUUUAAGUCUGCAACCGUGUUGAUCAGACAUAGUGUUGGUUUAUUGGAAUGUGGGUUUUCUGAAAACUACUCCAAAUCACCUUAAAGUGGCAUAUGUGUCUCAUCAUCAUAAGCUCUAAAUUUCCUAUUCUGCUGAGAUACUCUCCAUGCGAAUACAUUAUGUGAUUUCAUUUUCAGUGGUAUUCUUUAUGCAUAAUAGUUUUGUAAUAGAAUAGGAAAACUCUAAAUACUUAAUUUUAAAGGAAUCACUUUUUUGCUUUGGGGUUCCAUUUAGUUUAUCAUUGACCCUCAUUUACUUGGAGAUUUUUAUUUGAUACCUAAUUGGCUAGUCCAGUAAGCUUAGGAUGAGGACAUAAUAACAUUCUACUGAUUAAACUGAUUUAAUAUCAAAUAGUGUUUCUCUGUUAAUAAUUGGAAAUUUUACUGCCAUUGGAAAAAUCGGUGGUUUUCACACACACAAAAAAAAUGUACUGCUGCCUAUCUGAAGGGGCAUAAAACAUUGAGGGGAACUUGCAGCUAAAAUGUAAUUGUGGGGUGGUGUGUGUUUUAGGACGAACCCGAUGCACAACAGCUGUCGUGGUAAGAUGAAAGUUUAUACUUGGAAGUCUUUUUUAGCUAAGUCAUUUUACCUUGUGCUAUAGACAAAAAGUAUUCAUUUUUAAUGUAAGAGUUUUUCUUUUAAAUGGUUAAAGGUGGGAACGCUUUUCUGCUUACAUUUCUGGGCACAAGAGAAAUCAGAUUGCUUGUUGGAAAGUCCCAUUUAAAAAAAAAAUUUUAAAAGGUUAACACGAUGUUGAAAGAUAAUAAUGACUUACACUGUUGUGUCAUAUAGAUGCUCAGUGGGGGAUUUUAAACUUAAUUGAGCUUUCUAUAUUUCUUCGUUGGCUGGAGGUGGGCUUUCAGCUGUCUGGCAGCAUAAACAAAGAGAAUAAGGACCUGGGAGGGUGGAAAAGAUUUAAUAGGGUUGGAAGAAGGCAAAUUACCAGCGGGAAUGUUUGAGGAAGAGUUAGACUUCGUGUCUGAAAAACCUGUUGGUUUCAAUGGACGAAACUAAUGAAUUGCUGAUUGGUGUCAGCAGUGUGGGUGGGAAACGUGCAUGAGAUUUAUAUGCUACCCAUCUUUCCUUUCCAGACCUGCUGAGUUUGCAGCCCUUCUCUGAAGGAGCCUGCAGUUCCAUCAGCUGAGUCAACUCAGGUUUACUGAGAGCUCCAGCAUGCUCCCUGUUCCCAGCACUCAAAGCUUCAUGGUUUCAGGCUCCUUGUAUUUCUCCUUUCGCCUCAAAGUUUCUCCCCUUCCUCUGUUAUAGCCUUUAAGUUCUAGGUUGUCCUAAAAGUUAUGUUUUUCUUUUUUAUUUUUUUUUCCCCCCUGGCUGUCCCAUGGGCUAUGGAGUUUCCAGGCCAGGGAUCAGCUUUAAGCCACAGCUGUGACAACACCAGAUCAAAGUUGUGUUUUUCAAGGUUCCUCAGACAUUACGGGUGAGAAUCACCGGGGGUCCAAACUCGACUGUCCAGGGAUGAAGCCCAGGAGUCCUUACGUUCAUGGAGCCUCCCAUGAAAGUGAUUCUAACAUGUGGAAGACUGAAAACCUUAGGUACUGACAACCCUAAAUAAUUUAGGUGCGGCCCUACAUAAAUAAAUAAAAAGAAAAAAAAAAAA
Molecule: long non-coding RNA, 3639 nt
Filed under: Sus scrofa (pig)
Lineage: Eukaryota; Metazoa; Chordata; Mammalia; Artiodactyla; Suidae
Description: lncRNA (ENSSSCG00160032587.1)
Source: RNAcentral